GCUCUAUCUUGGACUGUGUUUUUCACACCUCAUAUGCAGCUUCUCUGACCCAGGCAGCUGGAAUUGAGGUGACAUCUCUGCUUUUCUGUUCCUUCCAGGAUCUAAAAGAGAAGAAGGAAGUUGUUGAAGAAACAGAAAAUGGCAGAGAUGCACCGGCCAACGGCAACGCUGUGAGUAUGGCUACAAUCUGCAGGGAGAGGCAGCCCUUAGACCCCAAUGCCUCUUUAUUUUCCUCUCCCUCCUUGCUUUUGCUGUGAACUUGUCCCCAGCCCCUCUGAGAGGAGACCCCUCCAAAUGACAGCACCAUGCUGUGCAGAGACCUCGAGUCUUUGGGGCUUCAGGUUCAGCAGAUGCUCCUGAGCCUGUGGGUAGUUCAUGUGUGUGCAGAAAGGAAGGGCUGGGCUUGUAUCCCCUCCCUGAAAGCCGAGUGAGGUGCCACCUCCUCCUUGGGUGUUGGAAGGGGGGGGGGGGAAUAUCCUAUAAUUAAAGUGUUAUAAUCAGUUGAGUGGGGGAAACACAUUGUGUACAAGUAAACUGUCUGGUUUCCUAUUUUUAACAUGCUGGGGGAAACUCACUCUGCUGCAUUUCAGUGUGUCACAAUAGCCUUUGCAGUCUUUGUCUUGACCUCCAGGCUGCAGCCCCAAGUUACUCUAGCCUUGAUCCUUCAUGCUUGGGCUGCCUGCCUCGUGUAGAGGCAGGCAGGAAGUGGGACGCGCGCCUGGGGCUCUGGUGGGCUGGUGCUUGGCUUUAGGCAGGAAAGGUGGGGACACGCACUUCUGCUGAAUAUCUCUUCCCCCUUCUCCCUUCCCCAGUGCAUUUUUUUAAGUGAUGUUUUGUCUUGCCAAGGAGAACGAGGAAAACGGAGAGCAGGAGGCUGACAACGAAGUAGACGAAGAGGAAGAGGAAGGUGGUGAGGAAGAGGACGAGGAGGAAGAGGGUGAGGAAGAGGAUGGUGAUGAAGACGACGAAGCUGAGGGAGCCACAGGCAAACGGGCAGCUGAGGACGAUGAGGUAGGAAGGAAAACCAGCCCUUUGGAGCUGCCCAUCUCCCCAGAGGGCUCCGGGGGAGCUUCAAGGGGGCCAGGCUGAGCUCUGGGGCUGGGACGCCCUGCCUGAGCACUCCCCGUGCCCCUCUGGGGACGCGGCCCAGUUCCGUUUAUACGCUGACCCGGUUAGUGGGGUGUCCUCUCUGGCUGCACGGAGCCACUGGCCCCGGGGUUGGGGAGCCCCAGAGUGCUUGUGGGGGCCAGGGCAGGGGUGCUCUGGGGCUCCCCGAGCUGGCUGCGAGGAUAUUGUUUGCACAAGGGGUAAAGCACUGGUGUUGCUCUGUACUUGUCCCUGAGGUGGGAAGGGGACCCAAAACCAUCUCCUGCCUCACUGCCCACCUGCCUUGGUGGGGAGCUCCCCAGCCCCCCAGCAGCCCCGCUCCACAUCCCCUCUCCUGACGGCUUUGCUUUCCCCCCAGGACGACGACGUUGAUCCCAAGAAGCAGAAAACCGAUGAAGAUGACUAGGCAGCAAAUUAUUAUUAUUUUUUUUUUUAAAUAAGGAGGAAAACAAACCAACAAAAAAGGCCAGCGCGUCCUCUUCACCCUUGGGACCCCCCCCCUUCCCUCCUGAUGCAACCCCCUACCCACACACACGCCCCCUUCCUCCCCCCUCNNNNNNNNNNNNNNNNNNNNNNNNNNNNNNNNNNNNNNNNNNNNNNNNNNUCCUGUCCUGCCUGAAAGCCACUGGCUCUGGAAGCCAAGGACAUGUGUAGCACCUACAUGGUCCCGAGCAGACUGUGCCAGGGAGCAGUGUUUGAACACUGAUGCUCUCUGAGUCCACACUCUCUUUGAGACGUGCUGUGAAUAGAAAUCAGUGACGGUAGUUCCCAUCCUGGUGCCUCCUCUAUGUGACUGGCUUUACUCCAGACAGGGAACAAGAGGGAAAAUGCUGGAGAGGGUCUUCCAGAGGACACAGUGACCUUGCGGUGAGACUGGCUCUCCCUGUCUGCCUCUCGUUGGCAGGAGGAUUCCCAUACCCUUCUGUCUCUGCUGGCAACGUGCUCCUCAUGUGCUUGCCAGCCCCCAUCUAGCACUGCAGGGAGGGUGGUUUUUGUCAGUGAUUACAGCUUCCCAGGGGCCUCCCUCAAGGAACCUUUUCCAUCCCCCACCAAAGCUUGUGCCUCCCUGUCCACCCCCAGAGCAACGCCCAGCGUGCGUUAUUCUGACACAAGUCCUAGGGGUCGCUGACCUACUCACAAGUCAGUGUGCAAACACUGGCCAGCACUGGACGUUUCUGGGGAAAGUGUGUGAAUACCAUUACAGGUGACUGCAAAAUGACUGUUUCCUACCUGUUAAGGGUAUUUUAUCCCCGAAUACAACUCUGUGUGACUAAACGCACAGUUUAUAAGCCAACGUGAGACAUUCAAAGCUUGGCAAAAUGGUACAGUGAUGAAACAAACACUACAACAGCUCCUAUGGUGAUACAUUACAUGAAAAACAACCACCUUGGAAAAAGUGAGUGAUCAAUAGCUGGAUUUGAAAAUGGCCCAAACAUUUUUUUUCUCUCUGGAUGUAAGGGGUAAUUCGGCUGUAAAACAUCAUAAAAUCCUUUCACAGUUCACCUUUCAAAAAAAAUUAAGCAACUCUAAUAAAGGAUCAGUUCCACUUUCUCCA
RNAcentral lists this long non-coding RNA (2662 nucleotides) under Athene cunicularia (burrowing owl). RNAcentral's name for it is "lncRNA (ENSACUG00000011366.1)". The record is from RNAcentral. Lineage: Eukaryota; Metazoa; Chordata; Aves; Strigiformes; Strigidae.